This is a non-coding RNA of Haemonchus contortus (barber pole worm), 117 nucleotides long. NCBI's taxonomy places the organism in Eukaryota, Metazoa, Nematoda, Chromadorea, Rhabditida, Trichostrongylidae. The record is from Rfam.
GCACGGAUGGCCGAGUGGUCUAAGGCGCCAGACUCAAGCGUAAACUUGCCGUGAGAUAACGGUGCUGGGCGUUCUGGUACUCGUAUGAGUGCGUGGGUUCAAAUCCCACUCCGUGCA